GACAGAGGGUGCAAACGUUGUUCGGAAUUACUGGGCGUAAAGCGCGUGUAGGCGGCAUGGCAAGUCGGGUGUGAAAGCCCACGGCUCAACCGUGGAAGGGCACUCGAAACUGCUGAGCUAGAGUCCUGGAGAGGAAGGUGGAAUGCUCGGUGUAGAGGUGAAAUUCGUAGAUAUCGAGCGGAACACCGGUGGCGAAGGCGGCCUUCUGGACAGUGACUGACGCUGAGACGCGAAAGCGUGGGGAGCAAACAGG
This 253-nucleotide ribosomal RNA is filed under the name uncultured Chondromyces sp. RNAcentral's name for it is "partial 16S ribosomal RNA". It matches the Rfam family "Bacterial small subunit ribosomal RNA", at positions 524 to 776 of the family's 1533-position model. The record is from RNAcentral. Lineage: Bacteria; Pseudomonadati; Myxococcota; Polyangiales; Polyangiaceae.